RNAcentral lists this long non-coding RNA (262 nucleotides) under Nicotiana benthamiana. RNAcentral's name for it is "long non-coding RNA (NBEN_LNC001421)". The record is from RNAcentral. Lineage: Eukaryota; Viridiplantae; Streptophyta; Magnoliopsida; Solanales; Solanaceae.
UUGACUAUCUUUAUCUUGUAGAAAUUUCACUGUGACUAUGACAUCAGUUAUAAUACACAAGCAAUAGUUUGUGGCGGAGCAACUGUACAUCUUCUUGCAGAAGAGAAAUCAACUGUAAGAUUAAAACCAUAACCAAACCUAAAACCGUUAUGAUCGUCCUCUCUCUUAAAUGCCAAACACUUGACCACAGAAGACACGCCAUAUCAAAUAAUGUAGACAACAAUACAAGGCCUAAGAAAAGACAAUCCGGUGCAUUAAACUC